AUAAUAUGUACUUGCAUGUGGAAUGUCUUGUAGCCUUUCUUUCUCUUCUUUUUUUCAACCUAAAAAGCUAAUUCUUAAAGAUUGUAGGGCUUAUAUAUUACUUGAAUAAUUGUUCUUUUUAAUAGUUUGUGAGAAGAGAAUUAAUAUUUGACUAGGUAGAAUUAAUUAAUAGGUAUGGGGAAACAGGGUAUUCUUAGAUUAAUAAUUUAUGUACUUUUAGACUAUUUUCAAAUGCUAUGAGUUGUUGAUAGUAAAUGCAAUUAAUUGAAUUUUAAAUUGUUAGCAAAAUGAAUAACUUGAGUGAUUUUAUUUUUUUUUGGCCUGUCAGCAUUUUGUGCCCUGGUGUGUAAUUAUUCAAAACUGUCCCAUAUUUCCACUACAUAAGCAACUGUAUACAAGUUAUUUCUUCUGAGACAUUUUUAUACUGCAGUACACAUGUAUUUAUAAACAUUUGUUCCAAUUUUUAGGCAUUUUCUACUAUUUAUUAAACCAUAUAUUCUCUGAGACUUAAAAGUUUGUUAAAAAAAAUCUAAUUAUGUUCCACAUGUUCAAUUUAACUUAGUUUAUAAAAAUAACAAAAAAAUCUCUGGGGGCAAAUUUUUCAAAAUCACAAAUUAAUACUGUAUAUACUUCAAAUGCAAAACCACCAAAGAAUAAAAUUCAAAUAUCUUUUAAUAUUUACUAAAUCCCCAUUAAGGAUAUACUUUUACAUAUCAGCAGAUACCUAUGAUACACUGAAAUCAUUGAUUCUUGAUAGAUUAUGAAUGUUUUUCUCAGUAGAAUUAUAUUUCUUCUGGUACUUGGUAGACUAGCUUAUACCCAAUGGCUCAUCCUUCCUUCCUGGCUCCCAUUUAUCCCAUCCACAUUUCUUUAGAAAUUGUCCAUAAGCGUCAAGCCAAUAAGCCUAAUUUUGAAAAAUAACAGCUUAACAAUGUAACUAAGUUCUUCAUUUCCAAAGAUCUCUUCUUACUGUCAGCACUCAUUUGGACAAAUACAGCCCCUCUGAAAACAAAGAAUUUUAAAUUUUUACAAUGUUGUGAUUUAUGUUUUCGUAAAGAUAGCAACUCACUUGGCAGUUCAAUGGUAUGCAUUCUGUGCUCUCUUUGUUUGCUCUUGAUACUUAGUUUACAGCUAUCCUUAUGACUGUAAAAACAUCAUUUUGUGUAAUGCAAACAUUUUCAAAGGAAUAGGACUAAUAUUUCUUCAAAUCCUUUCCUUUUCAUCUUCCAUAAUCCCUGCAUGGUAAAUUAGUUGUGCAUAAUUGAUUAGACAUACCUACUGUGUGUCUUGCUGAUUCUAGAAGAUAUCUUUUUUUUCAAUUUAGCAUCCCCAAAAUUGUGACAUCUCCUGACAUUGUCAUCUACAGUGUAGCGCUUAAAGUUGUGUUGAGAUAAACACUAAACUAAUUAAUAUUCAUGGAUGCAGUCCUUUUCAUAUAAACGUUUAUAAAUUCGUUUGUGAUGGCUUGUGAAGCCAGUUUUUAACACAGCUGAACCAUGUACUAUAACUCAGUGCAGACCUAACUGGCUAUUGGCUCAGAUCCUUUGAAUCUUUCAGUUACAAAAGCUCUUUUAGGCUUCCAUUUAUACCUUCUGUUAAGAGCAGUGAUUUAGGCAAACUAAGUUUACUGAGGAAGUGUGCAGUUUCUUGAGCCUUCGCUUAACGAUCUUUAGCAUUCCCAUCCCUUUUGAAGGGAUUGUUUGAAACUAUCAUCUCACUUCUAAGUAAGUUAACUGGAAAAAAGAUUACAUGAAAACACCAUAGUUAGUUUUCACAGCACUUCCUAAGGUUGGUGUCAGUAGCCAUCUUGAAAAUAUUUCCCCUGAGAUCUCGCAACUUUCUCAUUUCUCCUUAUCCUUUAUGUGCGUUUGAUGCUUUCUUUGGCUCAAGUAACUUUUCCUCUCCAGCACAUGUGAUGACUGUCAAAAAAAAAAAACCCUGCAGUUAAAAUAUAGCAUUUUAUGUGAAACAAUUGUUCAACUCUCUGGGCAGCUUUGGAUGGACUAUGUGAGAGUAAUAACACUACUCUGUCUACCUGAAAUACCUUCCUGCAUAAAAUGUAUCUUUGUAAGCUACCUUUUUCAACCGGGUGUCUAUUCUUCACAACCAAUUUCAGUACAACUGUGUAACUCAUUGGCAUAAAAGAAGAAAAAAAAACACUGCAAUUAUCAAGGAUAGAAAUCAAGUGAUUUCUGACUUUACUGACUUUACACAUACAAAUGUGAUUCUGAAAACAUGUCUGCACAAUGACAAGUAUGGUACGUAGAUUUUUAUUGAAAUAUUGAGUAAAAUUAUUUUCAUUCUAAAUUAUAAGAAACUACAAAUUUGCACAUAUUAAUAUAGAAAUUCAUUUUGUGUAUAGUUAACAUAUGUUUAAAGCUAUUUUACAUGUACUAGCUUCUUUAUGAAGGUCUGUAAAUUUUACAAAAGCAAUUAGACAUGUUUUAAAAUCAAUAACAGUCUUUGACUUAACAAAUACUGCCUUUGUAAAAACAUUUAAUAUAGAAUGUAUUUUUAAAUCAAGAUAUUUGAAUAUAAAAUAGCUCAAAGAGAAACAAAUUCUUCAUGAACACAUUUUGUGUUGUUUCUGGCUUUGAUUAUAUGAAAGGUGAAAUUGCCUUAAAUAAGGAAGAUUGGUAAAUAUGACAAUUUCACGUACUAUACUAUGAAUCUCUUUGCGUAACUGGUUGACUACUAACGUUUAUGUAUUUAUUAAAAGCUGACACUGUAGAUUGUUGUGAGAUGUUUAUUUUUCUAACAGAACUUAUCACAGUUGUGACAAGGCAUUUAAUUGAUAUACCAGUCUGUUUAAAUGUAGGCGUUAAUUGAUAUAAAAUUCUAUGUUUUAAAACAAAACUUUAAAGAUCUAAUAAAAACAUAAAGAAUAUA
This 2889-nucleotide long non-coding RNA is filed under the name Rattus norvegicus (Norway rat). RNAcentral describes it as "long non-coding RNA NONRATT025432". Lineage: Eukaryota; Metazoa; Chordata; Mammalia; Rodentia; Muridae. The record is from RNAcentral.